UCCCUUUGUGGUGUAGUUGGUAUCACACUGGGCUGUGAUGGAAUUUCUCCUUAUGCGGAGCACCAGUUCGACUAUGGUGAGGGAU
Non-coding RNA from Terfezia boudieri ATCC MYA-4762, 85 nucleotides. The record is from the annotation of a GenBank genome assembly. NCBI's taxonomy places the organism in Eukaryota, Fungi, Ascomycota, Pezizomycetes, Pezizales, Pezizaceae.